GCAUAUCAAUAAGCGGAGGAAAAGAAACCAACAGGGAUUGCCCUAGUAACGGCGAGUGAAGCGGCAACAGCUCAAAUUUGAAAUCUGGCGUCUUUGGCGUCCGAGUUGUAAUUUGCAGAGGGCGCUUUGGCAUUGGCAGCGGUCCAAGUUCCUUGGAACAGGACGUCACAGAGGGUGAGAAUCCCGUACGUGGUCGCUAGCCUUUACCGUGUAAAGCCCCUUCGACGAGUCGAGUUGUUUGGGAAUGCAGCUCUAAAUGGGAGGUAAAUUUCUUCUAAAGCUAAAUACUGGCCAGAGACCGAUAGCGCACAAGUAGAGUGAUCGAAAGAUGAAAAGCACUUUGGAAAGAGAGUUAAAAAGCACGUGAAAUUGUUGAAAGGGAAGCGCUUGCAGCCAGACUUGCCUGUAGUUGCUCAUCUAGGUUUCUACCUAGUGCACUCUUCUAUAGGCAGGCCAGCAUCAGUUUGGGCGGUUGGAUAAAGGUCUCUGUCAUGUACCUCUCUUCGGGGAGAACUUAUAGGGGAGACGACAUGCAACCAGCCUGGACUGAGGUCCGCGCAUCUGCUAGGAUGCUGGCGUAAUGGCUGUAAGCGGCCCGUCUUGAAACACGGACCAAGGAGUCUAACAUCUAUGCGAGUGUUUGGGUGUCAAGCCCGAGCGCGUAAUGAAAGUGAACGGAGGUGGGAACCUUUCGGGGUGCACCAUCGACCGAUCCUGAUGUCUUCGGAUGGAUUUGAGUAAGAGCAUAGCUGUUGGGACCCGAAAGAUGGUGAACUAUGCUUGAAUAGGGUGAAGCCAGAGGAAACUCUGGUGGAGGCUCGCAGCGGUUCUGACGUGCAAAUCGAUCGUCAAAUUUGGGCAUAGGGCGAAAGACUAAUCGAACUAUCUAGUAGCUGGGUUACAUGCCGAAG
Molecule: ribosomal RNA, 911 nt
Filed under: Didymella macrostoma
Lineage: Eukaryota; Fungi; Ascomycota; Dothideomycetes; Pleosporales; Didymellaceae
Description: LSU rRNA
Rfam family: Eukaryotic large subunit ribosomal RNA
Source: RNAcentral